Molecule: ribosomal RNA, 206 nt
Filed under: Photobacterium damselae subsp. damselae
Lineage: Bacteria; Pseudomonadati; Pseudomonadota; Gammaproteobacteria; Vibrionales; Vibrionaceae
Description: partial 23S ribosomal RNA
Rfam family: Bacterial large subunit ribosomal RNA
Source: RNAcentral
AAAGCGUAAUAGCUCACUGGUCGAGUCGGCCUGCGCGGAAGAUUUAACGGGGCUAAGCUAUACACCGAAGCUGCGGCAAUGUGCUUAUGCACAUUGGGUAGGGGAGCGUUCUGUAAGCCGUCGAAGGUGCAUUGUAAAGUGUGCUGGAGGUAUCAGAAGUGCGAAUGCUGACAUGAGUAACGACAAAGGGAGUGAAAAACUCCCUC